Molecule: long non-coding RNA, 979 nt
Organism: Notolabrus celidotus (New Zealand spotty)
Lineage: Eukaryota; Metazoa; Chordata; Actinopteri; Labriformes; Labridae
Exons: 4
Source: RefSeq, a predicted model, not a curated record
GUUGGUGGUGGUAAUGCACCUACAAGCUGGUUUGCCAACCACCAAUAAACUACAAAGAAGCAGAAGAAGAUGAUUACCUCCCCAAGUUUCAUUCUCCCUCUGUCUAAAAAUAAAACCAAAAAGUUGUCUUCACUUCUGAGGAAAAAGGAUAAUGCUGCAAAAAAGGCUGUCAGAUCCAGCAAUGAGGAAGAUAUCCAAGUGGAAGUUAUUAGGAUACCAAACCUGGAAUAAAACAACAACAACAACGAGGAGGACCAAGAACCUGCAUUAAUACUGGCAGAAACCUCAAACAGAACCAGACUCAUGUUGAACAGCCAUCUGCUGCAACCACUGAAAGAGGGAUAGCGGUAGAUGCAGAGAGAAAGAGGUGGAUAGAGACUUACAGUAUUGCAAUUCCCCACCUCUGCAUUCAGGUGCUUCCAAAACUCUUCAAAUCUUCAAGAUGUCCUAAUUUGGUUUGGUCUGAUCAGCCAAGAAUUGUCCCAUGGCUUAAUGGACUUCAUUGAAUUGUGCCCCAGAAGAGGCUGGCAGAUGGAGACCCACUUACUGCUCAUUUUGAACUGAAGGAUUCUGACAAUGAUAGGAAUGGUGGUCCCUCCUAUUAAGGAGAUGAAUUCAUUUUGAUGGCUCAUUUUCAGGCAAUUUGUAUAAUAGAAAAAAGGGUUUUCUAUGUCUGCCAUCUCUCUCUCUCUCUCUCUCUCUCUCUCUCUCUCUCUCACUCCCUCCCUCUCUCUCCCUCUCUCUCUCUUGUGUAAUGUUUGAGUAAAAGAUAGGACAGUGGGGACACAAGGCAACUUUAUACAGGAACAGAGCUUCACCAGACUUUCAUAAACAUCAAACACACUGAUACGCACACACAGAGCACACGUGCCCGUGCUGAUGCACUUAUGAAUAUUGCAUACUGCAGAUCAUCCACUUCACAUUUUCUCAUUGAAACAGGUCUCAGCAAUUCAUUGUUGCCAUAGAAACACAUUUACCU